AGCAGCCGCGGUAAUUCCAGCUCCAAUAGCGUAUAUUAAAGUUGUUGCAGUUAAAAAGCUCGUAGUUGAAUUUCGGGACCAAUCUGCCGGUCGUGCCUCCGGUACGCACUGGUUUUAUUGGUUUCUCCCUUCUGACGAACCAUGAUGUCAUUAAUUUGGUGUCAUGGGGAAUCAGGACUGUUACUUUGAAAAAAUUAGAGUGUUUAUAGCGGGCUCACGCUUGAAUACAUUAGCAUGGAAUAAUGAAAUAGGACGUUUGACCCUAUUUUGUUGGUUUCUAGGAUCGACGUAAUGAUUAAUAGGGAUAGUUGGGGGCAUUAGUAUUCAAUUGUCAGAGGUGAAAUUCUUGGAUUUAUUGAAGACUAACUACUGCGAAAAGCAUUUGCCAAGGAUGUUUUCAUUAAUCAAGAACGAAAGUUAGGGGAUCGAAGACGAAUCAGAUACCGUCGUAGUCUUAACCAUAAACUAUGCCGACUAGGGAUCGGAUGAUCGUUAAUUUUUUAAUUGACUCAUCGGCGCC
This 520-nucleotide ribosomal RNA is filed under the name uncultured Glomus. Its description in RNAcentral is "SSU rRNA". It matches the Rfam family "Eukaryotic small subunit ribosomal RNA", at positions 569 to 1087 of the family's 1831-position model. The record is from RNAcentral. Lineage: Eukaryota; Fungi; Glomeromycota; Glomeromycetes; Glomerales; Glomeraceae.